AAAAAAACCAGCCUGACCAACAUGGUGAAACCCCCUCUCUACUAAAAAUACAAAAAUUAGCCAGGGAUGGUGGCGCACGCCUAUAAUCCCAGCUACUCAGGAGGCUGAGGCAGGAGAAUCGCUUGAACUCAGGAGGCGGAGGUUGCAGUGAGCCAAGAUCACGUCACUGCACUCCAGCCUGGGCAACAGAGUGAGGCUCCAUCUCAAAAAAAACAAAAGAAAAGAAAAUAUGCCCUCUACCUUCUGAGCCUGAGGAGAAAAAAAAGAAAAUAUGCUCUGUUGUUCUGCCCCUCAGAUUUAUUUUCGUGUUUUUGUAGGAUCAGACAAAGGUGAAAAUGAAGCAAUGGAAUCCUGUAAGUAAGAAGUUUUGUGAUACUUAAGUAGCCUGGCCUGCAUCCCAAAAAUUUAGAUUCUAAAUCUUCUGUGUUCAUUUUUCUGCCUGAGGAAUACUGCUGUGCCAAGUGGCUCCUCAAGGCGAUAGAUUGGGUUGCUCCCUUGCUGUUGGCAUGGCCUCUUCACCAGUGUCUACACUCUUUUUCCCCAGCUGGGAAGCGGGCCCCUCAGUGCUACCCCAGUUCCGUCAACUCUGCCAGGACUGUGAUGCUGUUCAACCUUGGCAGUGCUUACUGCCUGAGGAGCGAAUAUGACAAAGCCCGAAAGUGUCUCCACCAGGCGGCUUCAAUGAUCCAUCCUAAAGAGGUGCCCCCUGAGGCCAUCUUGCUGGCAGUCUACCUUGAACUGCAGAAUGGU
This 750-nucleotide small RNA is filed under the name Pongo abelii (Sumatran orangutan). RNAcentral describes it as "retained intron". The record is from RNAcentral. Lineage: Eukaryota; Metazoa; Chordata; Mammalia; Primates; Hominidae.